RNAcentral lists this small RNA (88 nucleotides) under Eubacteriaceae bacterium CHKCI004. RNAcentral's name for it is "RAGATH-35 RNA". It matches the Rfam family "RAGATH-35 RNA". From Rfam's summary of the family: Clostridium (Firmicutes). The record is from Rfam by way of RNAcentral. Lineage: Bacteria; Bacillati; Bacillota; Clostridia; Eubacteriales; Eubacteriaceae.
AGCAGACAGGCGGCACGGCUUCGGUGCUUACGGAAUCGUCUGUCCAGUCUCAUCAACGGUUUUACUUUCCCUGAUCCGUUUGAGAGAU